GACGAACGCUGGCGGCGUGCUUAACACAUGCAAGUCGAACGGAAAGGCCCUGCUUUUGUGGGGUGCUCGAGUGGCGAACGGGUGAGUAACACGUGAGUAACCUGCUCUUGACUUUGGGAUAACUUCAGGAAACUGGGGCUAAUACCGGAUAGGAGCUCCUGCUGCAUGGUGGGGGUUGGAAAGUUUCGGCGGUUGGGGAUGGACUCGCGGCUUAUCAGCUUGUUGGUGGGGUAGUGGCUUACCAAGGCUUUGACGGGUAGCCGGCCUUAGAGGGUGACCGGCCACAUUGGGACUGAGAGACGGCCCAGACGCCUACGGGAGACAGCAGUGGGGAAUAUUGCACAAUGGGCGGAAGCCUGAUGCAGCAACGCCGCGUGCGGGAUGACGGCCUGCGGGUAGUAAACCGCUUUCGCCUGUGACGAAGCGUGAGUGACGGUAAUGAGUAAAGAAGCACCGGCUAACUACGUG
This 468-nucleotide ribosomal RNA is filed under the name uncultured bacterium. Its description in RNAcentral is "partial 16S ribosomal RNA". It matches the Rfam family "Bacterial small subunit ribosomal RNA", at positions 28 to 507 of the family's 1533-position model. The record is from RNAcentral.